Molecule: non-coding RNA, 29 nt
Filed under: Homo sapiens (human)
Lineage: Eukaryota; Metazoa; Chordata; Mammalia; Primates; Hominidae
Source: RNAcentral
UGUUAGACUGCAUAACUGGCCUCAGAACC